AUUGAACGCUGGCGGCAUGCCUUACACAUGCAAGUCGAACGGUAACAGGUCUUCGGAUGCUGACGAGUGGCGAACGGGUGCGUAAUACAUCGGAACGUGCCCGAUCGUGGGGGAUAACGGAGCGAAAGCUUUGCUAAUACCGCAUACGAUCUACGGAUGAAAGCAGGGGACCGCAAGGCCUUGCGCGGACGGAGCGGCCGAUGGCAGAUUAGGUAGUUGGUGGGAUAAAAGCUUACCAAGCCGACGAUCUGUAGCUGGUCUGAGAGGACGACCAGCCACACUGGGACUGAGACACGGCCCAGACUCCUACGGGAGGCAGCAGUGGGGAAUUUUGGACAAAGGGCGAAAGCCUGAUCCAGCCAUGCCGCGUGCAGGAUGAAGGCCUUCGGGUUGUAAACUGCUUUUGUACGGAACGAAAAGACUCUUUCUAAUAAAGAGGGUCCAUGACGGUACCGGAAGAAUAAGCACCGGCUAACUACGUG
This 482-nucleotide ribosomal RNA is filed under the name uncultured bacterium. Its description in RNAcentral is "partial 16S ribosomal RNA". It matches the Rfam family "Bacterial small subunit ribosomal RNA", at positions 30 to 507 of the family's 1533-position model. The record is from RNAcentral.